AUCAUGGCUCAGAUUGAACGCUGGCGGCAGGCUUAACACAUGCAAGUCGAGCGGUAACAGGGGAGCUUGCUCCUGCUGACGAGCGGCGGACGGGUGAGUAACGCGUAGGAAUCUGCCUAGUAGAGGGGGACAACAUGUGGAAACGCAUGCUAAUACCGCAUACGCCCUGAGGGGGAAAGGAGGGGACUCUUCGGAGCCUUCCGCUAUUAGAUGAGCCUGCGUGAGAUUAGCUAGUUGGUAGGGUAAAGGCCUACCAAGGCGACGAUCUCUAACUGGUCUGAGAGGAUGACCAGUCACACUGGGACUGAGACACGGCCCAGACUCCUACGGGAGGCAGCAGUGGGGAAUAUUGGACAAUGGGCGCAAGCCUGAUCCAGCCAUGCCGCGUGUGUGAAGAAGGCCUUAGGGUUGUAAAGCACUUUCAGGGGUGAGGAAGAGUAGUGGAUUAAUACUUCAUUGCUUUGACGUUAGCCCCAGAAGAAGCACCGGCUAACUCUGUGCC
RNAcentral lists this ribosomal RNA (502 nucleotides) under gamma proteobacterium KAT11. Its description in RNAcentral is "bacterial SSU rRNA". It matches the Rfam family "Bacterial small subunit ribosomal RNA", at positions 16 to 509 of the family's 1533-position model. Lineage: Bacteria; Pseudomonadati; Pseudomonadota; Gammaproteobacteria. The record is from RNAcentral.